Long non-coding RNA from Entelurus aequoreus (snake pipefish), 559 nucleotides. RefSeq lists it as uncharacterized. NCBI's taxonomy places the organism in Eukaryota, Metazoa, Chordata, Actinopteri, Syngnathiformes, Syngnathidae. The record is from RefSeq and is a predicted model, not a curated record. The transcript is spliced from 2 exons.
GGUACGGUCCAAAAAGAAGCGGCGGUAGUUGGUCUCCGUCAGAGCUCAUUUCUUUCCAGUCAGGAAGUCUCCUUCUGUCUUCUCCUCCGAGCGGCACCGACUUACUUCAGUAUGAUGACCAUGUACAAGGGCAAGCGUCGCCACAAUCGCUGCUCCUUUUGCGCUGAAAUUUCCCGCUGUUCGAUGUGCGGCCAUGUUCCCUGGUGCGUGAUGAUGCACCAAAGGGACGCGAUCUCAAAGCGAGCUUUAUCUGCACCGCCGGGUGCCUGAAGGGGCCGAGGAUUACGAGCUGAUCCAGCGUGGCUACAGAGGCAGGCUGAAAGUCUCACUCCAGUGUUUGCAGACGCUCCACUUUUUAUUAUGCCAUGAUGCUCGCUGUCAUCACACAUUAGAAAAUGGCUGCUGAACUCUAAGAGUUUUUGUGUUGCUAGGCGCUGGUUUAAUAGCCUGGUAGUUAAAGGGUUACUCUUCGGCCCAUCCAUUCCCAUUGUUGUUUUUUUUCAAAUUACCUAUUUUACUAUGUACUUGGAUUGAUCAAAAAUAAAUAUCUAAAUUAGAA